This 243-nucleotide ribosomal RNA is filed under the name uncultured Staphylococcus sp. RNAcentral describes it as "partial 16S ribosomal RNA". It matches the Rfam family "Bacterial small subunit ribosomal RNA", at positions 96 to 334 of the family's 1533-position model. The record is from RNAcentral. Lineage: Bacteria; Bacillati; Bacillota; Bacilli; Caryophanales; Staphylococcaceae.
CGGCGGACGGGUGAGUAACACGUGGAUAACCUACCUAUAAGACUGGGAUAACUUCGGGAAACCGGAGCUAAUACCGGAUAAUAUAUGAACCGCAUGGUUCAAUAGUGAAAGACGGUUUUGCUGUCACUUAUAGAUGGAUCCGCGCCGCAUUAGCUAGUUGGUAAGGUAACGGCUUACCAAGGCAACGAUGCGUAGCCGACCUGAGAGGGUGAUCGGCCACACUGGAACUGAGACACGGUCCAG